UCUCACAAGAAGGUGCAUGAUCACCAUGAUGGCAAGUAGAUCCCCUCCAACCAGCUGGUUCAAUUGUGAACACCCACUCACUGACAUUAGACCACAUUUGCCAGUAGCUACCUUUAACCCAAUAGCCAACAACGAUCCUAAUAACGCAAAAAGAGUGAUUCUAACCAAUUGCUAAAUCUAUAUAAUAUUUUAUACACAUCCAUUAUUAUAUCCACGAUUGCAUGCACAAGCACACUUCUUGUAAUACACUUGUGUCAUGCACUGUCAUCCACUCCUUUACAGACGCCUUCGUUCUCUACCCCACCUCCUGAGCAGCCACAAACAUCCCUGCAGGUUCAUCUGGUCCAUCAGCAGAAACCGUCCCAAAAAAUGCAUUUGGGCGGCCUUUAUCCAGGCGUGACUAUAUAGGAGAGGUUAAGGAGGCCCUCCUAAUCCUCCCUUGUUUCGGGGAAAGCAUUUGAAGAACCCCAAGACAAACACAAAGACAGCUGGUUUCACGCCCGAGGAGAGACAGGACUUCACAGAGCUACUGGAGGAGAGUUUCGUGGACACCUUCCAUCACCUGUAUCCCGACCUCGCUGGAGCGUACACUUACCAGUUCAACGCCAGAGCCAAGAACACUGGCUGGACACUUCUAAUUACCCCGGACUCUCUUUUGGGCAAUUUUCAUUGUUCUAAUACAACGGACACUCCAGUGCUUUAAUAUUACUAAAUAUCCGGACAAUAAUUAUACUUUGAAAAGUUGAGUUACAUUCACAGACGGCAAGUAAGACUUAGAGUGCUGCAGUUAGAUAGCUAUAGUUUUAGAUAGCUAGUGCAACUAUUCAAUCGCACAGUGUUCUAUUAAACUUAGCUAUCUCGCAUGCAGUUGCUUGCUUGUUCUAAUUAUUCCAGACACUUCACAUGCUCUAUAAAAAUCUGUUCCAAUUAUACCCGGACAAUUUCCAAAAUAAUUAUUUUUUGCUGUCCGAUAAAUAAGGU
Molecule: RNA transcript, 981 nt
Organism: Halichondria panicea
Lineage: Eukaryota; Metazoa; Porifera; Demospongiae; Suberitida; Halichondriidae
Gene name: DNA repair nuclease APEX1-like
Exons: 4
Source: RefSeq, a predicted model, not a curated record